ACUAAUUCUAGCCCUACCCAAUACAAAUAAAACAAUCUACCUAAAUAAACCAAAACAUUUCAUAUAAUAAAGUAUUAGAGAAAGAAAUUGAACUUAAGAGCUAUAGAAUAAGUACCGCAAGGGAAAGAUGAAAGAACAAUCAAAAGUAUAAAUAAGCAAAGAUUAAACCUUGUACCUUUUGCAUAAUGAAUUAACUAGAAAACCCCUAACUAAAAGAAUUAAAGCUAGAAACCCCGAAACCAAACGAGCUACCUAAAAACAACUUCAUGAGUAAACCCGUCUAUGUAGCAAAAUAGUGGAAUGAUUUUUAGGUAGAGGUGAAAAGCCUACCGAGCUUGGUGAUAGCUGGUUACCCAAAAAUGAAUUUUAGUUCAACUUUAAGCUUACUAAAAGGAAACAAAAACUUACAUGUAAACUUAAAUUAUAGCCAAAAGAGGUACAGCUCUUUAGGAAUGGAAAAAACCUUUAAUAGAGAAUAAAUACAUAAAACAAACUUAACCAUUGUAGGCCUAAAAGCAGCCACCAACAAAGAAAGCGUUCAAGCUCAACAUAAAAAACAAACUAAUCCAAAUAUUAACAAUAAAUUCCUAUAUUCAAAACUGGGUUAAUCUAUAAGUCUAUAGAUGAAAUACUGUUAAUAUGAGUAACAAGAACUUACUCUCCAAGCACAAGUUUAUAACAACUCGGAUAACCAUUGUUAGUUAUAGGACAUUAGAUAAUAAAUACAACUAAAUAAUCUAAAUCUCAACCGUUAACCCAACACAGGAGUGCUUAAAGGAAAGAUUAAAAAGAAUAAAAGGAACUCGGCAAAUAUGAAUUCCGCCUGUUUACCAAAAACAUCACCUCUAGCAUUACAAGUAUUAGAGGCAUUGCCUGCCCAGUGACCUUCAAGUUUAACGGCCGCGGUAUCCUGACCGUGCAAAGGUAGCAUAAUCAUUUGUCCCUCAAUUAGGGACUAGUAUGAAUGGCUAAACGAGAAUUCAACUGUCUCUUAUUCUAAAUCAGUGAAAUUGACCUUCCAGUGAAGAGGCUGGAAUAAAAUAAUAAGACGAGAAGACCCUAUGGAGCUUUAAUUAACUAACCUAAUUAUAACAAUCAAACCCUAAUGGAACAAAAUCAUAAACAUUACGCUAGCAAUUUCGGUUGGGGUGACCUCGGAGAACAAAAAAUCCUCCGAAUGAUUAUAGCAUAGACAAACAAGUCAAAGCAACCCUCUAAAUCUCAUUGAUCCAAAAUUCUUUGACCAACGGACCAAGUUACCCUAGGGAUAACAGCGCAAUCCUAUUUAAGAGUCCAUAUCGACAAUUAGGGUUUACGACCUCGAUGUUGGAUCAGGACAUCCCAAUGGUGCAGAAGCUAUUAAAGGUUCGUUUGUUCAACGAUUAAAGUCCUACGUGAUCUGAGUUCAGACCGGAGUAAUCCAGGUCGGUUUCUAUCUAUUUACAAUUCCUCCCAGUACGAAAGGACAAGAGAAAUAAAGCCAACUCAUAAAUGAGCGCUCUAAAACCAAUAUAUGAAUAAAUAUUAAUAUAGUAAUUAUGUAAUACUACUAAUCCAGACAAGAU
RNAcentral lists this ribosomal RNA (1565 nucleotides) under Grammomys macmillani (Macmillan's thicket rat). RNAcentral describes it as "16S ribosomal RNA". It matches the Rfam family "Bacterial large subunit ribosomal RNA". Lineage: Eukaryota; Metazoa; Chordata; Mammalia; Rodentia; Muridae. The record is from RNAcentral.